CAGUCGACGGCAGCACGGGUGCUUGCACCUGGUGGCGAGUGGCGAACGGGYGAKUAAUACAUCGGAACAUGUCCUGUAGUGGGGGAUAGCCCGGCGAAAGCCGGAUUAAUACCGCAUACGAUCYAYGGAUGAAAGCGGGGGACCUUCGGGCCUCGCGCUAUAGGGUUGGCCGAUGGCUGAUUAGCUAGUUGGUGGGGUAAAGGCCUACCAAGGCGACGAUCAGUAGCUGGUCUGAGAGGACGACCAGCCACACUGGGACUGAGACACGGCCCAGACUCCUACGGGAGGCAGCAGUGGGGAAUUUUGGACAAUGGGCGAAAGCCUGAUCCAGCAAUGCCGCGUGUGUGAAGAAGGCCUUCGGGUUGUAAAGCACUUUUGUCCGGAAAGAAAUCCUUGGUUCUAAUAUAGCCGGGGGAUGACGGUACCGGAAGAAUAAGCACCGGCUAACUACGUGCCAGCAGCCGCGGUAAUACGUAGGGUGCGAGCGUUAAUCGGAAUUACUGGGCGUAAAGCGUGCGCAGGCGGUUUGCUAAGACCGAUGUGAAAUCCCCGGGCUCAACCUGGGAACUGCAUUGGUGACUGGCAGGCUAGAGUAUGGCAGAGGGGGGUAGAAUUCCACGUGUAGCAGUGAAAUGCGUAGAGAUGU
This 646-nucleotide ribosomal RNA is filed under the name Burkholderia sp. RZ3MS8. RNAcentral describes it as "bacterial SSU rRNA". It matches the Rfam family "Bacterial small subunit ribosomal RNA", at positions 59 to 699 of the family's 1533-position model. Lineage: Bacteria; Pseudomonadati; Pseudomonadota; Betaproteobacteria; Burkholderiales; Burkholderiaceae. The record is from RNAcentral.